This 72-nucleotide transfer RNA is filed under the name Gemmataceae bacterium. RNAcentral's name for it is "tRNA-Thr". The record is from RNAcentral. Lineage: Bacteria; Pseudomonadati; Planctomycetota; Planctomycetia; Gemmatales; Gemmataceae.
GGCUCGCAGGCGCAGCAGGCGGCGCGCCCCGUGGGUAUCGGGGAGGAGCGGGUUCGACUCCCGCGCGGGCCU